UAGGCCUUGAAAUACAUCCACAUGUAUACCUCCAAUUGACUCAAAUGAUGUCAAUUAGCCUAUCAGAAGCUUCUAAAGCCAUGACUUAAUUUUCUGGAAUUUUCCAAGCUGUUUAAGGGCGCAGUCAAGGGGCUGGUGAUGCUUUAUUGGGUCUCUGACCGCAUUUAUCUUUCUGUUUUGGCUACUUACAGUAGGCCCAAAAAACAAUUGGGAGUAUAGGGUUGGACUGUUUUGUCAUGAUAGGACAAUAAAUCAAUAAACUAUAUUAAUUUAUUAAAUGUAUAUCCCAUAUCUGCACAAAAUUGAAAGUCAUCUCACAAUCCCUGCUCGCAGACAAACAUGGGCUCUGGGAUUUGCAUCCACUUUUUUUUUUUCACUCAAAGCCACAUUUUUUCCAAACACAAGAACACACCACCUUCCAUCACUAUUCAACCGCACAUACCCACAUACUGUGUCUUCUGUUUGCUGUGUUUUUAUCCCUACAAUUAGUAAUUUUGUGUUCCAGUUUAGGAUGUAUUAUUUUGUUACCCUUCUGAUGCUGUCUUAUCUAAUUAUAAAAUACUAUAAAUAGAAAGUGGAAUGCUAAUUAUUUUACAGCAUUCUCUAUCUUGUGGUGGAGUUGUGGUUUAUUUAUUUUUCAAUUGUUGUAUUUUAUUUUGAUAUUACAAUCCCUAACGUGGGUGUUCCAUUUUUUGACUUCUCUAUGGGAACGUAGUCAUAUUUAGAAUAGCUAUGGAGUAGUCUUGGUGUCUCGGAACAUUUAGUUAUCAAUAAUCCGUUUUAUAGGAGAGCUGCAAGUUUUUUUGUGUUUAAAAAAAAAUCUAUUCUCUUUGCGCUAUUCUGCAAUUUCCUUCUGGUACGGAUCAUUCGUGCCUAUUUUCGUGCUAGCGAGUCUUUCACCCAGGCUUUUAACCAUUUUAUCUUUGAAGAAUGCAAAUUUGCCAACAAUUGGUCGCUCAUCCUCUGUCCAAACGGUGUACAUGUUCGAGUUGGAUUUUAUCGACAGCAUCGCCUGGGAUCUGUAGCGCUGUCAGAAUGAUUUCACCACAAUUUCAGGAUCUUCGCUCUCAGUUUGUUUGAUACCAGAUUCUCUGAUAGAUCUAGUCUGUAUGUCAAGUAAGGCUUCUCGCAGAAACAUUUUCUCCUUUUUAAGUUAACCUCCAUUUCAAUCUUAUUGACUAACGUUUUAGCUUGUUUGUUUCUCCGUUGUCGCAGCUUUUUUGUCACUCAUCGCGAGUCUUGCCUUCAACUCCAUUUUUAUAUCUUUACGGACUCAUUCAAGUAUGUCAAGUUGAUCAUUUAUCGACUUUAACAGAUUGGUUUCCACCCUUGCCAUUCCCGGUGAUGAAAAUCAUAAAACGUCUGUCCGUCAGACACGUUUUCGUUUGGGGUUGGGUUCUCUGUUUGGAUGUUUUGUUUUUGGUAAUAUUGGUUUAUAAAUGUCUCUAGCGUAAUUUUAUUUUGUGGUGUUUUCCAGAUUGAAGGUUAUUACCCAUGAGUAUAUGGAGUUGAAGUGCUAAAAUUUAGUCAGACUUUUUACAUUUUUUAUCUUGAAGCGAUCUGCACCUCUGUUCAGUCCGCCAUUUUACCUGGCCCAGACUACCUGAUUUACAGUCCUUCAUUUCUGUCUUUUAUCAAAUAAAAUAAACCUGUUUUCACUGUCAUUAUGGGGUAUUGUGUAUAGAUUGAGUAUUUUUAUUUUAUUCAAUCCAAUUUAGAAUAAGGCUGUAACGAAAGAAAAUAUGGAAAAAAGGAAGGGCUCGGAAUACUUUCGAUUGCGCUGUAUACAUUUAAGUCAGGUUAUUGAUUUAUAGACUUAAGUUGGGUUUCUUGUCAAUAUUCUUAGACAAUUAAACUAAGCUCUAUUUGCACAGGAGUAGUAAUUCUAUUGAACGUUGGUUAUGAAAUUCAGACUGAAUUAGUUUUUCCAAACUGCCUCCUGUAAUUCAUUAUUUAAAAAAAAAAAAAAAAAUUAAUUGGCAGUUAUGACUGAAGCCUGGAUGUUUUGAGUCCAGGCGAAAAGCCGAAAACAGGGCUACACUGAAAAUACGAGCUUGGUUCCCAAGUUUCUAAACCAUACCAAACCAUCUUAGGUACAGUGUCGCGAUAAUAUUUGAAUUGAGGAAGUGUGAUCAUAAACAUUAUGAUAUUGUAGCGAUCCGCAAUUGAACCCCCCCCCCCCCCCCCAGCCUUCAGAUGUGAGCUAAACAGUGCACUUGAGAUGCUUUUUAAGGCUAUCGAUGCAAAAGUGAACUUUAUCAUUUCCAAACGUUUAGGUCAGUUGUAUGCUGCUUUGCUAUCAAUCAAGGGCGCAAUAUUUAACUGAUGCAUUUGGCAAUAUUCAAUUUAUUUACACAAAACAUAUGAACAAAAGUAUUCACUGUUGAAGUUGAUCCAUGUAGGCCCUUCAUAUAUAGCCUAUGCGCAGCACUUCGUUCAAUUUAUCUAAUCAGUUCUUGUUUUCGCGCCUGAAAUGUCAGCAACACCUGUCAAACAGACAUUUCUCUCAACACUGGGAUGUCGAUUCGCAGGGGACUACUAUUAUCAGAGGACCUUGGAGUUGGUUAUUCUGUCUGGAAUUGUUACUCUUGCCAUGUACAAAUUACUGACGUUUUGUGCUUGUGCACAUAUUUACAUUACACGACCACCCCCAGUAAAACUAAUCCUAGGCCUAGUUCUAUGUGUAAUCAGGUGUGUUCUUAGUCAAGGUUGAUGGGAGCACUCCAAACGAAAGACAAUUUAAUAAAUUGACAACUCAUAAAUGGAAUGAAAUAAACCAAAACUUGUUUCUCACAAAUGUAGCCUAGGUUGUACGCUCUGUAAACAUGUCCACUCCUACAUUGACAAUGGUAAGAUUGUCAUAAUAUGAUUUGAAUGCAUUAACAGAAAUAACCUUAACCAAACAGACAUUUUAGAUUAGAAUUUAUGGUAAAUGUACUGCUGGUGAUACGGUCAUCCCUACGGCGGCCACAAUGGAGGAGUCUACUGAGACAGGUGUGAAUCAGGCAGGUGUCUUGUGUGGCGUAAAAUAUAUAUUUUCCACUGCUCAACUGAACUCUUGAUCGACCAAAUGGGGUCAGUCCUAAAUGAAAGUCAUCCGUUCUCGGAUGAAUAACAAUGAAAAUAAUUGUCUGUCAAAUGAAAAGCACAACGUGUCUGCUUUUUAUUUAAAAAAAAGUGGAGUUGGGUAAGGGUACAGACACAUGAACACUGAAAUUGUAAAUGACUUACAAAAGUACAGUUCAAAUCAACUGUUUUCAGACUAGUUCAUUGGAAAGUUGUGUUCAGUUAUUCAUUUUUUGGGCAGACAAUCAUCUCCGUUGUCAUUCAUUUGGGAACGGACGACUCUCAUUGAAAAAGCAUUGGCUCCAUCCAAAAUACUCGACACAAAAUUCCAAUACAUUUGACUUGACAAUGAUGUAGUACAUCAUAUAUGAUUUUAAUCCGUGUUCAUGUGUCUGUGUGGCCGUACUCUUUUAGAGGUAAACCAAUAAAAAUCUGGAUUCUCAGAUCAUUUGGGAAAAAAAUUGCUAACUGGUAUGUCCUGCAGGACUAUACAUCCAUUUAGUCUGGCAGUCAGGACAUGGAGCAAGUGUUUUGAUGUCACAUUGCUAAUGGCUGUAAGUUGUAUUGAAGUCUCAUUUCAGGUAAUUUAAUCUAACUUUUUGACUUUGACUAAAAUUUAUUCCAGAGCUACGUAAUCGUGACGGGAUGGAUUUGUAAAGGAAGACACACAAAUGGAAUGGAUUGCACUGAUAAAUGGAAUAAGCCUCCAUUGUAAUGAUGUCGGUGAAUGGACUCUACAAGGUGUCAAGCGUUUCACAGGGAUGCUGGCCCAUGUUAACUCCAAUGCGUCCCACAGUUGUCAGGUUGGCUGAAUGUCCUUUGGCUGGUGGACCGUUGUUGAUGCACAUGGGAAAGUGUUGAGCGUGAAAAACACAGCAUUUUGGCAUAACGGUGCACCUGGCACCAACUCUCACACCCUUUUAAAAAGCUCUUGAAUCCUUUUUCAUGCCCAUUCACCCUCACAUACAAUCCAUGUCUCAAGGCUUAAACAUCCUUCUUUAACCAGUCUUCUCCCCUCCAUCUACACUGAUUUUAAAGUGGAUUAAAUAAGGGACCAUAGCUUUCACCUGGUCACUCUGUCAUGGAAAGAGCAGGUGCCCUUAAUGUUUUGUACAUUCAGUGUAUAUUGCCGGUUUUCCAGACCCAGAUAAAGCUUAUUCCUGGAAUAAGUGAUUUCCGUGGAGAAUUUACAUUGCGAGUGCUUGUUAGUCCAGGACUAGGCUUAAUGAGGGGGCGGCAGGUAGCCUAGUGGUUAGAGCUAGAUCGAAUUCCUGAGGUGACAAGGUAAAGAUCUGUCAUUCUGCUCCUGAGCAAGGCAGUUAACCCACUGUUCCUAGGCCAUCAUUGUAAAUCAAAAUUUGUUCUUAACUGACUUGCCUAGUUAAAUAAAGGUAAAAUAAAUAAAUAUUAAACAAAUAAAUGAGUCUCCGAAACCGUCCCAUAAGUGUUUUCUAGUAGUUAAAUGGAGGUUCAGCUCCAUGGACAACAUCUAACCAGUUUGGACUAUUGAUUACCCCCAAACUGGAUCACCAGUGGUUAUUAGCAAGAUGUGGUGAUUGUGACAAGUACAGUGUGAAUAUACUGGUCCCGUUCCAGGCUGAUUUUAUUUUUCAGUCUUGCUGCAUGAAGCAACCUAAGGUUGCAUGCAACGUUGUGAAUGUACACAGUCAGGCAUGAGGUUGAUAUAUGUGGUUAGCUAAUAUAUAAACCCUUAUCCAGGCGUUGUGAUUUCUGGAAGGAGAUUGCAAUGUAGGGGAUGAUUUACCUCUUGGAACUAAAACUAAAAUAAGUGGAGAAUUUCAGGGUCUAUAAAUUAUGCACGUUUGAAUAGUCUGGAAUACUGUUGGAGGAAUGCACCUCUUUCAUGAGGAAAUUGCUGGCAUACUUUUGCUGGCAUACUUACUGUCCCCAAUUUAUGAAGUUUUCUGUUUGUUUUUUUUGUCCACUACCUGUAGGUCAUAGACUACAAUGUAGUGAGGUCUGGUUGAGUUAUGAUCACUCAAUGUGGUCUACAAAAGGAAGCUGGAGAAUGGAGAUGUAAUCAGUGGAUGUUCCCAAAUCGCUCCCUACCCCUUGGCUCUGUAACCCUUCAUCCCUGCAGAAGGUGUAAAGCAAUAUGGUGGAAGCUUUACCAUUGCACUGCUUAUAGCUAACGAGACCGUACAGAUCUGCAAAUAUCAAGUGACUUGACUUGGGGAGCGAUUUUUGGGACCAGCAUGUGUUAGAGCAUCUAGAUUCUCCUACAUGGUAAUGGUGGUCCAGUUCAUGAUUAACCAAUCGUGUAAAUUGGUUAUAUGCUGUCCACAGUUCUGAAUCCUAGUAUUGCAGGUAACAAAUAAUAUAAUCUACACAUGCAUAGGGGGUAGGGGACUAUUUUGAAAUGGGCAUCCAAGAUCCAACAGAGUAGGGCACACCUGAAACCGGCCUGAGGGAUGUAACGGCAGUGUUACAUGAUUACAGUCCUGAGUUCACCUCAGAGGCCUACACUUAAUUAUUUGGGGAAUUUUGGGGUAGCAAGAUCUUGAUUGAGCAAGAGCAUUGUUGUAGAAUAGGAUAUAUUCCUACUGAAUUGUCCAAAUUAAAUCCAUGAAUGUUAAAUAUUUAGAAUGUUGCAAGCAUUGUGUUAUAGUGGGUGUAUUAAUUUCCACAAUAAUGCUGUUUUUAAACCAAUACAGGUAUCUCAAAUGAAGUGUAACCUUUACUCGGCCAUUUUCACUUGUACCUAUGACCCCCUGAAAUGAGGUUGUCACUAAUUGCCACAAAAUCAUAGUGUCCUCAUACUCAACCAAUCAGAUUAAUGAGUGUGAUGCGUAUGCCGACCUACUUGCCGGGGUUGAUAAGACACUCAUUUUAUUUUUUGUCUUGUUCAGUUAAAGUGUGCAAGCUUAGCAUGCUAUAGUUACUUGUCCUAACCCAAAAUAGGUUUACUCCAAUAGCUGCAUUGUUUUAAAAAUUGCAUGAAGAUAAACUGAUAUCUUGAUUUUCAUUUGAAAAAUACCACAGUUUCACUGAAAUUUCAUGUUUUGAAAUUGGCAUAUUUUCAAGAACUUUGAUGCAUUCUGACUUCAAAACAUGAAUAUGAAAUAUGCUUAUUCUUGUUACUGAGGGCGAGGAGAAUGCAGAGUUUGCAUUCUGUCAGAACAUGUUAUUGUUCGAUAUUAGGUAUCCAGUGGAGAGAAGGGCCACAGUCUGGUUUCAGUUGUUUGGUUGUAAUUUGAAAUACUUGCUACACCAGAAGUUAAUGGAUAUGUGUAGGAGGAAUGUAUAUUGUGGAGGUUGGAUAUGGGCCAGGGUCUUGCAAUGUUACUAAGUAAGGGGAAAAGCAAUCACAUGCUUUCGGUUACUGAUAAGGGUUGAUAGCUGUUGAUUAGUGCGUAAUGGGGGCUGAGGUCAGGUCACAUGUAGGGAGAAGUUUAUUACCCAUAUCACUUAACUUCCUGCCUAGCAACAGAUGUAUUGGCUCUCCAGACGUGUGAGGAGACCCGGCAUAGGAGGAAGUUAUAAAUAUAUGUGCUUGUGUAAACAUGUUUUUCUUAUGCAGCUGUGUGACCCAGUGGGUGAAUAAACUUGGUUUGAGCUUUA
Long non-coding RNA from Oncorhynchus gorbuscha (pink salmon), 6648 nucleotides. RefSeq lists it as uncharacterized. NCBI's taxonomy places the organism in Eukaryota, Metazoa, Chordata, Actinopteri, Salmoniformes, Salmonidae. The record is from RefSeq and is a predicted model, not a curated record. The transcript has 2 exons.